Molecule: long non-coding RNA, 2778 nt
Organism: Mustela erminea (ermine)
Lineage: Eukaryota; Metazoa; Chordata; Mammalia; Carnivora; Mustelidae
Exons: 6
Source: RefSeq, a predicted model, not a curated record
UUGCAGCACUCCAUGAUCAAUAAACUUGGUGGGAGGUAGUUGUUUGCACUGGUCUUCGCGGGGAGAGGGGCCGGCUGCAGGGAUUCUCAGGCUGACUUGUUUCUCUGGAAAUGAGUCUCCGGGCCCAGGGGGCGGGGCUUGGUGUAGGGUUGGGGUCUCACUAGGUGGCGCUGUUUUGCGCCCUGAAGGCUUUCAGCCCGGUUGAGCGGGAUGAAAAUGGCUGCGCCCUGCUCUCUAGCCUCGUACCUGAAAGUUGGGACCCCCUAUCCUUCACGGAGCCCUCCCAGAAAAGCAACCAAUCACCGUGUUUGUUUCCCGGUUUCGGUUUGAACCCUGCCAGAGUUUGAGGCUUUUCUUCUCAGGCAAGUGACACAGUUUCAAAGUUCCAAAUUUUAGAGUCGCCAAAGGCGUGGACCGGCACUGUUCCUCCAGCGGAGGGUCUCCCCACGCGUGCUGCCCGGUCCCUGGAAGGCAGGUCCUCUACCCCGCUGCAGUUUGCAGUUUAUGCCUGCACCAAGACCUGCUGCUCUCUGCCCGCUUCCCGGCUCCCCUGCCUGGGAACAGCGCAGCACCUUGGCGCCACCCUUUCCUCCUUGGACCCUCGGGAUCCUCGGUGCACCCGGUCACUCCUCAGAUUCCGUCCCUCUUCGCCAUCUGAGCACUUCUAAGCCAGAUAGAGCCAGCAUGAAUGUAAGAUAAAGAGGAGGAAUCAAAGAUGACCGCAGGGGUUUUGCCUGAGCAGCUGCAAGGAAGAAGUUACCAACUGGCAUCAGUAAGUCUGGGCAGGUCAGAACCCAUUGUUAAGACGCCAGUGGUUCCAAGUCCUGUCAAAACAAGAGUUACCAGUUGGAAGAACGAGAAUGUUUGCUCCACGGUCUUUCAGUCGACACACGGUGGCCGUGAAGACUGUAUGUGUGACUGGAGGACUUUCUUUCCUGAGGACUAAAAAACAAGCUAAAUGAAAGUAAAAAUAAGGUUAGGACUUGAAACCCAUUGGUUUCAACUCCAGUCCGUGGCCCUGUGAAACCCUCUAACCUACCUGAUGGCACUGUCACAAGGGUGUCAUCUGCAGAUCAUGGCAAACCUUGUCUGAAACCCAACUCAGAGCUUGCUCUUCUCAAGAAAAUGGAGAAUCCUCCUCAGCAUUAACUUGGGGUUUCUCUGAAGUCCACCAAUAUUGAAACAAUUGGAUUUUCUGCCAAGAGACAUUAAGGCUGAUUUGACAAGAAUGACGAGGCACUUUAAGAGUUGAUUGACUGUUAGUACAAGGCUUUUAGAGCUUUCUAAAAUUGCAUCAACUGUAAGUGAAAGAAAUGGAAGUAUCUACUCAGAGCUUCAAAGGAAAGCCUGUGACAUGAGGAACGAAUGGUAGCAUGGCCAAAUAUGAAUACAUCUAUCCAACACUUCUCGGAUCCCUAUAAUAUACAAAUUCAUUUGGUUCGUCCACAGUUUUCUAUAGUCCUCAUACUCAGCGACCCAUUAAGAUCUAAGCUAAUCAAUGUAAAAAAAUCAUUUUGUGUUUAUUGAAGGCUUUUCAGAAGAUCCAUUCAGCUAAGACUCUUACUGAAUGUGUUUUCGUAUGUGUUUUCAACUCUAUCCUGGAGCUUCCUAUCUAAGGCCAACUUACCCUCCUGUCACCAUAUUCAUAGAGUGAGGCAACAACAGAAACCAACUGAAAGCAAAAUCUUUGAAGCUGGCAGCAUCUAUGCUGAAAUCUUCAAGAUACUUUUGGUGAUGAUAUCAAGUAACAUCAACCUACUCAGGCAGUAUGUAUGAAGUUGUAACCCCAGUGAGAUCAAUCUGUGUGUCUCUUGCCUUUCACCACCUUAUUUUAGAUAGCUAUUUGUUACAAGUGUCCUGACACUUUUUAAUAUUUUAUAACUAAAGAUAGACAAAAUGUGCCUGGCAAGAACAAUAACUAAAGACUGAGUAAACAACCCAGGACCACUCAUUAUGCCAGGAAAUAUGUGCUUACGCUGUGACAAUGGCUGUCGUCUUGGAUUGGCCCCAUUAACCACCUCUGGACAAUCAAGGCAAUGAUGGAAGCCAUUCUCUUCCUCUAACAAGAUAUUGCCAAGAAAGUACACUGCUGCGCAACCAGCUGUUUGAGGAACUGAAGAGGAUGAAAAGAGGGUGAAAACAGAUGGGAUAUAUUUUGCAUUUCUACUUAGAUAUGAAUAUGUACAUAUGAUAUAUUAGGGCAUCUCUCCCACACAUGUCCUUCUCUUCUUGGUACAUUAUGUUAACCAUUUAUCACUUUCGUAUGUCAACUUUAUCCAAAAAUUAUAUAUGCUCUUUGUUUCUUAGAUUUACUCCUUUCUUUACACCACUUUUUACUGAACUAUUUGGUUAGAACUUGUGAAAACUUCUUGUAGCUUAUGCUGCAUGGAAGGUACUUUGUGUAGAGGGAACAUUUGUUUGAAACAAAGCUUAAAGUGUACUCUUUGCUAAGAAUCAUACUAGGCUUCAAUAUAGGGAGAAAUACAUAGUUGAAAGUGUUUAGAUUGUCCUGGUGCCAUAUUUUUAAAAUCUCACAUGUAAGAAACAUAUAUACUUUUUUGUUGAAUUGGAAAAUAUAGAAAGAAGAAAAAUAAAUCAAUAAAUACAUAAAUAAUAAAUAAGAAGAAAAUUAGCACUGUACAUAGUCUCAUCACCUGGAGAUUAUCUGUCUAUAUUCUUCCUCUAUCCUUCUAUCUCACACAGAAGUAUAUAUUUAUAUACGUAUGUAUAUAUGCAUGUGUAUGUAUGUACAUAUUUGGGAUUAUAUGGUAAACACUA